RNAcentral lists this ribosomal RNA (433 nucleotides) under uncultured bacterium. RNAcentral's name for it is "partial 16S ribosomal RNA". It matches the Rfam family "Bacterial small subunit ribosomal RNA", at positions 29 to 507 of the family's 1533-position model. The record is from RNAcentral.
AAUGAACGCUGGCGGCAUGCCUAACACAUGCAAGUCGUACGAGACCAUCGGGUCUAGUGGCGCACGGGUGCGUAACGCGAGGGAACCUGCCCUUAGGUUCGGCAUAACUCCCCGACUGGGGUGCUAAUACCGGAUCAUGUCUUCGGACCAAUGAUUUAUCGCGUUUGGAUGUACCCGCGUUGGAUUAGCUAGUUGGUAGGGUAAAAGCCUACCAAGGCGACGAUCCAUAGAUUGGUUGAGAGGAUGGUCAGCCACACUGAGACUAAGACACGGCCCAGAAUCUUACGGGAGGCAGGAGAGGGUAAUAUUGCAAAAUCGGGGAAAGGCUGAAGGAGCAAUGCUGCGUGAAUGAUGAAGGCAUUAGAGAUGAAAAGCUCUUUUAACCGUGAAGAUAAUGACGGUACCGGGAGAAUAAGCUCCGGCUAACUCCGUG